This 278-nucleotide ribosomal RNA is filed under the name uncultured Ruminococcus sp. RNAcentral's name for it is "partial 16S ribosomal RNA". It matches the Rfam family "Bacterial small subunit ribosomal RNA", at positions 511 to 788 of the family's 1533-position model. Lineage: Bacteria; Bacillati; Bacillota; Clostridia; Eubacteriales; Oscillospiraceae. The record is from RNAcentral.
GCAGCCGCGGUAAUACGGAAGAUGCGAGCGUUAUCCGGAUUUAUUGGGUUUAAAGGGAGCGUAGGCGGGUUUUUAAGUCAGCUGUGAAAGUUUGAGGCUCAACCUUAAAAUUGCAGUUGAUACUGGAGACCUUGAGUGCGGUAAAGGUAGGCGGAAUUCGUGGUGUAGCGGUGAAAUGCUUAGAUAUCACGAAGAACUCCGAUUGCGAAGGCAGCUUACUGGGCCGUAACUGACGCUGAUGCUCGAAAGUGCGGGUAUCAAACAGGAUUAGAUACCCC